This is an RNA transcript of Selaginella moellendorffii, 1548 nucleotides long. It is a transcript of the gene named 65-kDa microtubule-associated protein 1-like, with no coding region annotated. The record is from RefSeq and is a predicted model, not a curated record. The transcript is spliced from 10 exons. Lineage: Eukaryota; Viridiplantae; Streptophyta; Lycopodiopsida; Selaginellales; Selaginellaceae.
GGGCAGACUACACCGAGGCUGUCAAGGAAGUGCAUCCGAGCCUUUGUGAUCCAGGCCAGAGCAGAAGUAUUAGCGAUGAGACGCUAGAGAACUUAGCCAAGACGAUCGGGAGUCAGGGAUAGUGGACUUGUCAGAACUACUUGCUACAAUCGAAAGUAGUAUCGCCGAGGAGAAGGAAGAAUCACUCGGCAGACAAGAUAUAAUGGAAUGAAUGGAACGGUGGAUUAGUGCGUGUGAAGAAGAAAGCAAGCUUGAAGAAUACAAUAAGGAUGAAAGCCGCUUCAAUGCAACCAGAGGAGCACAUUUGAAUCUAAAACGUGCAGAAAGAGCUCGUGUCAUCGUGGCCAAACUCCCCAAUCUUCUUGAAUCAUUGAAGUCCAAAACGCGGUCUUGGGAGGACGAAAGAGGCAGGCCCUUCUUAUAUAACGGGAUUUCUCUACUGGCAAUUCUAGAAGAAUAUAGCUUGCUACGACGAGAGAAAGAAGAAGAAAAGCGCCGACUGAGGGAGGAGAAGAGAAUGCAGGAACAACUGCAAACUGAGCAGGAGCUGCUCUACGGCACAAAGCCGUCCAAAAAGGGACAGGUGGGACUUCGCGUGAGUGGAAACAAUGCAAACCGACGACUUUCGAUAGUCCCUGAGCCCUUACCCGCACCUAAGGCUAGCAAUCAGGGUCCUCAAAAGGGUAGCCGGGUGAAACGCUACUCUCCGAUGAUGAAUUACGUUGCCUUGCCUAAGGAUCCCGAAGCUUCUUCAAUUGGAUCAGCUCCGGAUUCUCCUGUUGCAGCAUGAAGCGGUUUUGAAAAUUAGGACGAUAAGCGGGGUUUAUACUUGCUCCGUGUUUUGUGUAUUGGGAAAGCGUAGGAGCGUGUGCUAUUUGUUCAAAGCUUUGAUUGGUGUAAAGCAUCGAACUAAUUGUUUCGUGUUAAGUUUCAUUCAAGCUUCUGCUGUCGAGAAUUGACGCAGACAAGUUCCACGCAGGCUAUGCUCUCAAAUGAUUCAAAGGCUCGCAAGCUUGACAUGCUAUGUACCAGAGAGCCGAAACAACGGUUUUAAAAGGACUCCAUUCCUAUUAUGGAGUGCAUAAGCUCCUACCACGAUCUCCUGUCGCAGAUCGAAAGUCACGGGCACGAGCUGAAUGUGGACAUUGCGAAGCUGGACAAGGGGGCGACCAGCAUUCAGGCCAUGCUUAACAAGUUUAAUACUCACAAGCACCGGAAUCCAGAGUUCCGCUACUCUGAUGGAGCCGAGGAGUGUCUUGAUCUUGUCACAAAAUGGAACGACAAGGCGCAAGCACUGCUGGGAUCACAGGAGAAGCGUUGUGACAAGAUCUCGGAGCUGAUACACAGCUACGAGGACGAUCUCCUUCCGAAAAUUGAAAGGUACGAGCGAGAAGAGUUGAGAGUGAUACAGCCGAGCACUAGCUUCGCCGUACGGAGUUCCCCGCAAGACAGAGGCCCUGCAAAAAAAUAUGUACGGCGUGUUUUUCCUGAUCCCAUGUUUGGGGGCCAUGAGCAACUGCUGGAUGAGGUGGUGAAUGCCCUCUUGGA